Molecule: non-coding RNA, 148 nt
Filed under: Homo sapiens (human)
Lineage: Eukaryota; Metazoa; Chordata; Mammalia; Primates; Hominidae
Source: Rfam by way of RNAcentral
GCCGGGUGUGGUGGUGUGCACCUGUAGUCCCAGCUACUUGGGAGGCUGAGGCAGGAGAAUUGCUUGAACCCGGGAGAUGGAGGUUGCAGUGAGCUGAGAUCGCACCACUGCACUCCAGCCUGGGUGACAGAGCGAGACUCUGUCUCAA